Molecule: long non-coding RNA, 1432 nt
Organism: Homo sapiens (human)
Lineage: Eukaryota; Metazoa; Chordata; Mammalia; Primates; Hominidae
Exons: 3
Source: RefSeq, a predicted model, not a curated record
AGUGCUUGGCGCGGUGACCAGACCUGGCCGCCUUCCUGACUGCACAGAGCAAGAGGCCACACUCUGGAUCCCAGGCCGGGUCCCUGUGGUUCUGGGAGGGAGGUCCCGGAUGCCUCCCAGAUCUCGGGCUUCUGUAACCCUGAGGCUGGGUUUUAAAAUCACGGCUCUUCCAAGUUACACGAAGAGUCCAUGGUCAAGGGUCAAGGGUGGUCUUCGACCCUCGGGAUCGUCUUCUUGAGAAAUGGCUGAGAGCUAAGCCUAGAGCUGCCCAGGGAAGGAAGCCAAAGAGCUGGAGCCGAGCGCGAAGGGCUGGGAGGCGCGGGGAGGCCCCUUACCCCCGCCCCCCCCCCCCACACUGUCCUGGCCGCUAAUAACGCUGAUAAUAGUAACAGUAUCGGCCAACUGUUUCCCCCCUGCUCCUGGUCUGCCAGGCACCGGAUCCUCCUUUAGCACUCCCAGCACUCACUGAAGAAGACACUAUGGAAUUCUCCGUUUUCCAGACUAGAAAUAAGUAACUCGGAGAAAUUAAGAAACUCGCCCGACGACCCUCAGGCAGUAGCACCUGGCCAGGUUUGCUUUCUGAACCACUAACUCCACUCGCGCACGCCACCUUUCCUGCCUGGGCCUCUUGCGGGUCGCAGGGGUGGAAGCCUGACCUGGGCCAGGGCCCGGAUUUCUUCCUCCUGGCCUCUGUCCCACCGCCCCCGGUGCCAGGAAGCGCUUUUCUCUCCCCGAGACCCAGACGCGCCGAAAGACUCGCGCGGUCAGUUCCCUACCCCACGCCCUGGGCUGUGCGUUUUCUUGCAAGCCUCUGCCGAGUGCGGGGAACGGCGCCGCCAGACUCCCCCAGACCGCGCUCCGGCUCACGCCUGACUAGAGCACUCUGCUUCACAGAGGGGCGUUCUGCGCGUUCUUCCUCCCUGGUGUGAUUUUCGUUCUUUUUCCUCUCAUGGUCCCCAAGAACCCAGGCACCCCUCGACGUAGGUGCCGGCGGUACCGGGAAUCCCUCCCCUGGACUCCCUGCGGGCCCGAAGCCACCUUCUAAUCCCAGCCGCCUUCCCAAGGCGGCGGAGGUGGGCAGCUCCGGGCUCCGCGCCGCCCCGCGAAGCCGGAAUUUCUCUUCGGAGUCUUGAUACAGCUCUCCACUUCGUCGCCCCGCACUGGAUCCUGGUAGCGUGAAACUUGCCCAGGAAGCUGGGCUGCGCUGGCCUGGGGUGAAGGUCCAAGAGACGAGGGGGCCGGGACGCGGGGCUGUCGCAACGACUGGCCCUCUGCGAACCCUCAGGCCAGCAGCUGCAGGUGCUGUUGUAGGAGCAAGGGAUACAAUGAUGAUCAAGGCAGAUGCAGCCGUUACCUUCAGGUUGUGGAGUCCGGAUACAGACUGGAGGCAGGCAGCUGUAAGAUGUGUGAGAAAUGCUGCGCUGGAUCAGCC